This is a long non-coding RNA of Halichondria panicea, 5765 nucleotides long. RefSeq lists it as uncharacterized. The transcript is spliced from 7 exons. The record is from RefSeq and is a predicted model, not a curated record. Lineage: Eukaryota; Metazoa; Porifera; Demospongiae; Suberitida; Halichondriidae.
CCCACUACUUUUGCUGGCUAGCAUCAUGCGAUAUGCCACGUGGAUCAGAAACAAAAGAAGCAAGAAUCAAUGAAGGAUGAAGAGUUGGAGACAGCUAGGAUAUUGAUUGCAGGCUUAAAGAGUCUACCCUGUGUGUUGUCAGAUGAUGCUGUGUGGUGAGUAGCUCUAUCACAAGUCAGUGGAGGACCAGGAGAGGAGCAUCCUAGAGAGGAAGAGGAAGAUACAGCACGCCAUUACGGUGUGUGAUAAGGCAUGCCUGAAAGAGUGUGGUGGUCUGGGGGCUGACAGCUGUAAGGAGUGUGCCCUGUGAUAUGAGGAGGUGGAGGGAUCUUGUACAGAUAUUGAUGAGUGUAGAGAAGAUGACUCCAUCUGUUCUGAUGGUACCUACUGUCUCAACACCCCGGGGAAGCAUCACUGUUAGGGUGUUAUAUUAUAAUAAUUUUAUUAUAAUACACUCUAAGAAUACGCGCAAAGGACAUAAUUAUACAGCAGUGCUUGUGGGAGGAACAAUUGAUGUUCGUGAGUUGUUUGAUUUGAGGGCAGGCUUUUGUUAAUAUUCAUAAUUAGGAGGGGACCAAUUUUAAGUUUAUUUCGAUGGUAUAGGGAAUACAUAGGUUGUUCAGUUUCUUUGGUGGAUCUCUAUUGCUAUACGUACGGAUUGUACUUAAAAAAAUAUCGGAAUAAUACACGCUAACAAUAUCACGCUAAGAAUACACGCAAAGGACAUAUACAGCAGUGCUUGUGGGAGGGACAAUUGAUGUUUGUAAGUUGUUUGAUUUCAGGGCAGGCUAAAUAUUAUUAUUCAUAAUUAGGAGGGGACCAAUUUUAAGUUUAAUUAUAAAUUGUUUCGAUGGAAUACAUAGGUUGUGCAGUUUCUUUGGUGGAUCUCUCUAUUCCUACGUAUGGAUUGUGCUUGUAAGUAUUAGGUUAUGGGUACUUUUUAUUGCGGAAUAUCGUUUGACGGGAAGUUGAUUACACUCACUGGAAUAGAUGUAACGUACUCUGUUAUACGAUAGAUGCUUUUUAUUGCCGAGCUUAGACUGGUUGCUUAAAUUUAGCUGUCUCUUGGACUGGUGUUUCUCGGGAUCGUGGAUAUAAAAUAGAAUCUUCAAUUUCUCCCUAAAAAAUAAGGCAGGCCAUGUGCUAUAAUAUUGUUAUUAUUGUUAUUAUUAUUAUUUUGAUACUAAUUCCAAUGUGGUCUACACAUCAUUACAUCAUUAACUGUCGUUAACUCACCCACAUUAUCAGUUUGUAAUUCGGUGAUAAACCACAUCAUUUCAAGCUUGUUGUUAAUUUUUGUCUCUAACACUUUGUGUUGUCAUGACUUUAUCCCUGAUGUCACGUCGUCUUCCACAUUAUCCUUAUAAUUAGAUGGUUGCGUGCAAUACCUAUAGAGCUAUUUCUAUCCUUCACGUCAACUACUUAUCUUGCUAUAUAAGGCAAACCACAGCAUUCGUUGUACAGUCAUGAUUACUUUCAUCCCCCCUCGUCAUAAUUAUGACAUUUGUAAUAUCAUUCCAUCUUUCAUACUCUCCUUGGGUGACAUUCUCCGAUGCUAUCGCUCAACUGAUGUCAGGCCAGGAACUACCGGACCGUAACAUUCAUCUCAAAUUUGCCGCUCCAACUUUCAACUGAUAUGGCAUGCACUCCCCUUGCAACUAUAUUUAAUUGCUAUCUCCUUACGAUCCAGAUAUAAGACCUCCGCUAUAUCAUUCAGUGCACGUGGGAUAAAUCUCAAUUGCAGCCCUGACCCUUCCCACCUAUGGCCACUAAUACUUCUCAACGCUAUAUGGGACAUUUUAUGAACUUGACGCCACAGUGAAAGUACACACAACUUACCACCGGACCUCGAUCGCUCUCCGAUGUAAAGCAGAAGCCUACCGUAUAGGGCAAAAUUUUCGAGGGGCUUAAUUUUCACUAUCUCCUCUCGAUUGUCACUAAAUACUGUGGGAAGUCUGACACCACCACAAUAUGGAUAUGACGAUCAUUUCGCUGGAUAAACAUAAUAAACAUUAAAUCACCUCCCCUGAUAAUUGAAGCGAAGACAACUUGAACUCGUGAGCACGGCAACACCUACUGGGUCACCGAUGAUUGAAGCGAAGACAACUUGAACUCGUGAGCACGGCAACACCUACUGGGUCACCUCCCCCUGAUGAUUGAAGCGAAGACAACUUGAACUCGUGAGCACGGCAACACCUACUGGGUCACCUCCCCCUGAUGAUUGAAGCGAAGACAACUUGAACUUGUGAGCACAGCAACACCUACUGGGUCACCUCCCCCUGAUGAUUGAAAUGAAGACAACUUGAACUCGUGAGCACGGCAACACCUACUGGGUCACCUCCCCCUGAUGAUUGAAGCGAAGACAACUUGAACUUGUGAGCACGGCAACACCUACUGGGUCACCUCCCCUGAUGAUUGAAGCGAAGACAACUUGAACUCGUGAGCACGGCAACACCUACUGGGUCACCUCCCCCUGAUGAUUGAAGCGAAGACAACUUGAACUUGUGAGCACAGCAACACCUACUGGGUCACCUCCCCCUGAUGAUUGAAAUGAAGACAACUUGAACUCGUGAGCACGGCAACACCUACUGGGUCACCUCCCCCUGAUGAUUGAAGCGAAGACAACUUGAACUCGUGAGCACGGCAACACCUACUGGGUCACUUCCCCCUGAUGAUUGAAGCGAAGACAACUUGAACUCGUGAGCACGGCAACACCUACUGACUCAGCAUCUCACCAUCUCAAUUGCCAUGCACAUAUUCUAAUUAUAGUAUUAUGGGGUCACUACCCAUUUUUUACUAUUUUAAGUUAUAGUAGUGUGGUCUGCCAUUAAACUGUAUGAUAAUAGUGCUUGUUGGAAACUACCUCUGAGAUGUGUUAACAGUCUUGUUGUUCUGGAAACCUCUUAUGAGCGUUAGCUGCAUGGUCUUAUUGUCCUUUUGUAUCUCUGAGAUGUGUUAACUGGUCUUUUUGUCCUGGAAACCCGAGAUGUCUUGUGACUAUAUACUGUGGAUUGAACAUUGUCGUUAACUGGUGUAGCUGGUUUGAACUUUAUUAUUAUUUAAAGCCUAGGCAAAAAGAAGGAAAAAAAAGAUUCCCCCCAAAAAAGAUUUUGAUAGUAAUUGCCUGCCCUCCCAUAAUUUUCAUGUUUCUGUUUGUUGCUUGAUUUUUUGAUUUUUAGUUGUUUGAUGUUUAAUUUUAUAAUGUUGUAGUAUGGGGCUCCCUGACGAGUUUGGAUUUAGUUCUUCUGCUUCAAUCUGGUAAUCUUGCCUUGUACUUUGGGGAGUGGGCCGAUCCUUGAUGGUGUGUGUCGUAGAUUUAUCAGUAGUAGUAGCAUCGCACAUAGCUAGUGGCUUAUUGGUAGUAGUCGUUGUCGGGGUGUUUGUUGCCAUCGAUCCACUAUAAUACGAGUAGUCUCUUAAAGAGUUUAUGUUGGUGGAAAGCCGUGGAGGUAUGCACGGGACUAAACUUACUACCUCUCGUAUUACUCGUAGUAGCUCCCUCUGCAAGAAAAUAAAACAUUGUGAUAAAUAAUCGUUAACAUGAGUAACAAAAUGUUAUAUAGCGAUGAAUAAUCGAUCAUGUCUGUAAUAAACUUACGUUAGUUUCGAGAAGCCGCUCUACUGUUGUUAUAAUUAUGUCCCUGCCUUCCCGAACCCGCGGCCGUGCCUAAGUCCGUACCUCCUUGAUCUUCUAUGUCCGUGGGAUAUUUGGUAGAUCGUAGCCAAAUUGCAUAGUCUAAGUUUCGGAGUUGAUCAACAAACUUUAUGUUGGGGCUGGGUACGAGGGCGUCUGUAAAUUGAAGAAUCAUAGAUAAAAAAAAGGCUCGGAAGUUGAUCAGUCCUUAACCACAUACAAUUAAAGGAGUGGGCUGUCAAGCAUAACAAACUUAGCAAAUACGGCUUUACAUGGAUGCCAACUGCAUGCAGUCGUUACUGACAUCAUAGGUAAUGGUCGUGAUUAUGUUGAAAUUAUGAGCUCCAGAACCACACCCACAUUACCAGUCUUACAAGCAUCCAGAAAUGUCUGGGAGAAAAUACAUUAUUAGUAAACACCCAAUGACAAAAAUUGUAUGUACAUGUUAUAAUACUGGUCAAGAUUCUAUAGCCAGGUUUCCUGGUAAUGAUCGUCAAUUUUGUAAUCGAUUAAUGAAAAUAGUUAGCUUUGAGACUGUUGAAAUUAUGAGCUCCAGAACCACACCCACAUUACCCGUUUUACAAGCAUCCAGAAAUGUCUGGGAGAAAAUACAUUAUUAGUAAAAGAUGGAAUGACAAAAAUUGUAUAUAUUCGAGAUUCUAUACAUGUAGCCAGGUUUCCUGGUAAUGAUCGUCAAUUUCAAUUUUGUAAUUAAAAUAGUAGCCUUGAUACCUAGACAUAAGUUGGCCUGACCACUCUAAGCUUGCUUACAUACAAUGUCUUGAAAUUAACUGGAUUUGUCUUUGUAUCUAGCUAUAGCAACCAUCACGUGACUCUUUGCAAAAAGAAAAAUGGCAAGCGGGAAAUUUAAAAUGUUGUCUACGCAUAUACGCCAGCAGUGCAACGCUUGCAGCCAUGCAAUUAGUCGGCGUAAUGGAAAUGGCAUUAUAGUGUCUGCCAUGAAAGUCAAAACUUACUAUGAACUUCCUUCAAGUGCUUUAUUAAGACUGCAUGCAUGGCGGUUCGAAAGGAAUGAUCCUUGGUAUCAAUUGGAUCUUUCCAUGUAAACUUCGUCUGUAUGGAAUGACAUACAAGCUUUAUCAUAGCGACACUAUUUCGUACGCAUGCACAUGACAUAAAAUAGCUAUAAAUCGACUUAGACUGCGUGCUAAGUUUAAUUUUGCGCUACUUACGAUCAUGGGAGCUCCAGGCUGUAUAUAACAUCGUGGGCACACCAAUUCCUCAGUACUGCCACUUCUUUUCAUAAUAAUAUUGAAAUACGCUCACAAUCAUUUUGUGGGUAUGCCGCUGUACACAGAAUAAUGUAUGUUUCCAUCCUGCUAUCUACAAUCAGACAAUCAAUGCACAGAACUGAAGAAGAAGCUGGCUCUCUGCAAGUCACUCAGAUUUGCAAGUACUUGGACAUUACAGCUUGAGGGUCACCACGUACAUGUACGUAGUAACGAUCUGAAUGGGGCCAGCAAUCAUCAUGGCCAUAUGCUCACCAUGACAACAAUACGGUAUGGUGGCUAGCUGUUUAACCUGACCUGCUGUGCGGAUAUGAGAUUCAAAUUAUGAGUAAACUAUUCAAGUACUUGUACAGCAAUUACAAGUACUUACAAUGUCAUGUACGUACUUGCUUACCCAUGAUUAGGAAAACGAUCCUCUGCUUACGGGAGGUAACUUGUACAAUGACUGAGAGAAGGAGUGAUCAGCAGCAAUACUCUAGUAAAUUGCAAUCAUCCUCUGUAAUGGAAGAUGUGUGCAGAACUGGAGUGACUGAUCAACAGCUCGAUCAAGAAAUCCCCAACAGUGACAUCUACAGUUUAGCUGAGAUGACAACCUGGCAUGCUUGGAAGACUCGGACUCACUACUGCUGAAAAAAAACGAUGCUACUCGAAAGAGAAAGUACGAAGGCAAUCAAACAGGAAUGGCUCAUGCAUUGAGAGUGUGGCAAAGAGUGAAUCCUUCCAGAGCUACCUUCAGGGCCUUGGUGGAAAUUGCCAUAGGACUGAGAAGAGGAGACACUGCUACAGAUAUUUGUAGAUUCAUUGCAGAACUGAACAAAACUGACUUUUAACGUUUUGUUUUAUUGAUGCUGUUUUAUGUGUCUGCUUAUAAUUAUUGUGAU